UACGGAGGGUGCAAGCGUUAAUCGGAAUUAGUGGGCGUAAAGCGCACGCAGGUGGCUGAGUCAGUCGAUUGUGAAAGCCCUGGGCUUAACCUGGGAAUUGCAGUCGAUACUACUCGGCUCGAGUAUGGGAGAGGGCAGUGGAAUUCCCGGUGUAGCGGUGAAAUGCGUAGAUAUCGGGAGGAACAUCAGUGGCGAAGGCGGCUGCCUGGCCCAAUACUGACACUCAGGUGCGACAGCGUGGGGAGCAAACAGG
This 253-nucleotide ribosomal RNA is filed under the name uncultured bacterium. Its description in RNAcentral is "partial 16S ribosomal RNA". It matches the Rfam family "Bacterial small subunit ribosomal RNA", at positions 524 to 776 of the family's 1533-position model. The record is from RNAcentral.